RNAcentral lists this ribosomal RNA (450 nucleotides) under Enterococcus casseliflavus. RNAcentral's name for it is "bacterial SSU rRNA". It matches the Rfam family "Bacterial small subunit ribosomal RNA", at positions 28 to 457 of the family's 1533-position model. Lineage: Bacteria; Bacillati; Bacillota; Bacilli; Lactobacillales; Enterococcaceae. The record is from RNAcentral.
GACGAACGCUGGCGGCGUGCCUAAUACAUGCAAGUCGAACGCUUUUUCUUUCACCGGAGCUUGCUCCACCGAAAGAAAAAGAGUGGCGAACGGGUGAGUAACACGUGGGUAACCUGCCCAUCAGAAGGGGAUAACACUUGGAAACAGGUGCUAAUACCGUAUAACACUAUUUUCCGCAUGGAAGAAAGUUGAAAGGCGCUUUUGCGUCACUGAUGGAUGGACCCGCGGUGCAUUAGCUAGUUGGUGAGGUAACGGCUCACCAAGGCAACGAUGCAUAGCCGACCUGAGAGGGUGAUCGGCCACACUGGGACUGAGACACGGCCCAGACUCCUACGGGAGGCAGCAGUAGGGAAUCUUCGGCAAUGGACGAAAGUCUGACCGAGCAACGCCGCGUGAGUGAAGAAGGUUUUCGGAUCGUAAAAACUCUGUUGUUAGAGAAGAACAAAGGAU